GCCCGCAUAGCUCAGUGGUAGAGCGCGUCACUAGUAUGACUCCAUCUUCAGUCUUCUGAAGACGGAUCUGCGAUAUGACGAGGUCUUCAGUUCAACUCUGGAUGUGGGCA
This is a non-coding RNA of Podospora appendiculata, 110 nucleotides long. The record is from the annotation of a GenBank genome assembly. Lineage: Eukaryota; Fungi; Ascomycota; Sordariomycetes; Sordariales; Podosporaceae.